RNAcentral lists this long non-coding RNA (8690 nucleotides) under Sus scrofa (pig). Its description in RNAcentral is "lncRNA (ENSSSCG00015067552.1)". The record is from RNAcentral. Lineage: Eukaryota; Metazoa; Chordata; Mammalia; Artiodactyla; Suidae.
UUUUUGGGGCCACAUCUGAAGCAUAUGGAAUUUCCCAGGCUAGGGGCUGAAUCAGAGCUGUAGCUGCUGGCCUAAGCCAUAGCCACAGCAAUGCCAGAUCCUAGCCACGUCUGUGAUCUACACCACCGCUCACGGCAAUGCCGGAUCCUUUGACCCACUGAGCAAGGCCAGGGAUUGAACUCGCAUCCGCACAGGCACUAAAUGGGUUCUUAAGUCUCAGUGGGAACUCCCUAUUUACUACUGUUUUAAGACAUAGUCAUGAUCUUCUACUUCUAAAAAAACAUAUGUGCUUUGGAUCAUAUCAAUCUGUAUUUAAUACAGUUCUACCCUCCUGGGAGCAGUUAGAACAUAACACUAACAGUCUCAUGGCUCUCGGGAUGGAAGAAUCCCUUUAUCAUUCAGCCCAGCAGAAUUGUGCCCCAACUUCCUUUCUGAUUUGUUUGUUUGCUGUCAACUAAAGGUCUGGGAUUUGAGGACUGACCUCUUAAGAGUCCAUCUAAUUGCUAUCUCCUGAGAGUCUGAUGUUCUGACUUAACGAAAGAGCACAAAAAGGCUCCCAUGAACCAGAACGCUUUGUCGAAGACAUUUGGUUUUUUUUUCUUGUUCAUGGCAUUGAUUGCCAUUAGUAGAUUAUGUGCUCCCUCCUACUUUAUCUCAUAAGUUGUAAAAGGUCUAUGCUCAAAAGGAUUCUCCUCUCUCUGUGACAAAGGAUAUUGUCUGAAGUAUUUUUCUCACUUCCCCGGAAUAGGUCUAGUGAUUAAAAAAAAAAGGCCAUAAAUGUUAAUUCACUAUCUCAAUAAAACCUACAAACUCUACUGCAUUUUACCGGGUUCUCUACAAGAUCCAGACAUGGAGGACACAUUCUCAACCUUUAAAGAGCUCAUCCAAAUAAUAACAGUUAUUAGCCUCUGAUGACAGGUAUUAUAAUAAUUAAAUUACAUAAACUGUCUCUAACCUUAGGUAACCAAUGAAUAAGCUGAGGCUCAGGGAAAUAUGCUGAUUUGCCUCAGGGAACACGUCUAGUAAUUUGUAGAGAUGGUGAUUUGGCUGCAUUGGAAUCAAUAGGAAAAAGAAGGGAAUGGGUGUUCCCGUCGUGGCUCAGUGAUUAAUGAAUCUGACUAGGAACCAUGAGGUUGCGGGUUCGAUCCCUGGCCUCGCUCAGUGGGUUAAGGAUCUGGCAUUGCUGUGGCUGUGGUGUAGGCCGGUGGCUACAGCUCUGAUUCGACCCCUAGCCUGGGAACCUCCAGGCUAGGGGAGGCCCAAGAAAUGGCAAAAAGACAAAAAAAAAGAAGGGAACGAUAGCAGGCUGUGCACAGUCUUACCUUCUCUUUGACACCAUCUCCAACUAUUUUGUCUGUGAUUUAUUCUCCAUUUUAUAAACACUGUAAGAAUUUAUUAUCUGGUCCACACAUUUCAAUUAUUAUUUAGAUACCGCUGUACAUUCUAUGUGAAGGUUCAAAGGUACAAGAUGGGAACAGGUGAGACAUUAACGAAGCACCACUCUCACUUACGGCUGAGCCUCUCUUCCUCAGAGGGUGUCGAGUUGAGACCGGCUGGAGAGGCAACCAGGUAGAUGGCAGACUGCGGAGAUUACCUGAAAAGGCAAGAGGAGGGGAGAGCCAAGAAAAACUGGAUAAGCCAUGUUAUAGGGAACAGUAGUUCAAACCCAAGGGUGAAUAAUUUUGUAUUUAAGUCCCAAAUGGUAACUGAAGAAAGAUGAGGAAAUCCGUUGUUCAAACUAUUUUUGUUCAAUCAUCAGACUAGGGGGUUGGGAUAGCAUGUCCCAAAAAGCCACUACAGGUUCUUAAGUUAGUAAUGGAAUAGGGGAUGAUUUCUGAGGAAAGAAUGUGGAGGAAGUAGAAAAUAAUAAAGCCAAAAGAGAAAACCAGCUGCUUGUGAUGGAAUGCAGGAAAGCACAUUUCUUCAGAGGAAACAAAAAGAAACAAAAUAAAAGAAGGUGCCCACUCUCCCUUUAUCUCUCCAUUUUAUAACCUUACUGAAGCUAUUUUUCCUAUACACUAGACCUUCUAAGAAUGAGGCUUAGCCCAUUAAACCACCCUGCUCCCCGCCCGCUCCGCCGCCUUUGGCUUCACUGUCCCAUAUUUUUUCAGACAAUCUUACUUACUUAAGUUCUUUUAUCUAAUGCUCAUAACUCAUCCAUACUCAUCCACCUAUCUAAUGGCUGGAUGUGGUAGCCAGUCUCCAAGAUAGCCUCCAAUGUCCUUACCUUCCUGGUAUUCAUGGUUUGUGUGGUCCCUUCUUACACUGUAUCCAUUUGACCAAUAGAAUAUACAAAUGCAAAGGUGUCGGGAGUUCCCGUCGUGGCGCAGUGGUUAACGAACCCGACUAGGAACCAUGAGGUUGUGGGUUCGGUCCCUGCCCUUGCUCAGUGGGUUAACGAUCCGGCGUUGCCGUGAGCUGUGGUUGCAGACUCAGCUCGGAUCCUGCGUUGUUGUGGCUCUGGUGUAGGCCGGCGGCUACAGCUCCGAUUCGACCCCUAGCCUGGGAACCUCCAUAUGCUGCGAGAGCGGCCCGAGAAAUGGCAAAAAGAAAAAAAAAAAAAAAAAAAAGGAUAUACUGUAUAGCAGAAGGAAUUAUACCUAUAUCUCUGUAAUAACCUAUAAUGGAGUAUAAUCUGCAAAAAUACUGAAUCACAACACUGUACACCUGAAAUUAACACAAUAUUGUAAAUCAACUAUAUUUCAAUUCCAAAAAACCCUUAAAUUUGCAAGUGCACUUUAAUGUUCUCAAGGAACAGUGAGCUCAGAGGUCUGCUUGAAGUGCCACCUGCUGGUAGCAACUUUUAGCAUCCCAAGCAGGCUGGAAUAAUCGUUGCUGACGGCCAGUGCUAACCUGUGACACCUUUCCAAGGUAAACCCUGACUACCUAUUUUAUGCCUCUUCUGAGAAUUAGCUUCUUCAAUUCCCAGAGAUAACAACACCUGCCUUGGCUUCUUCACAGGAAUGCUAAAAUAUGAUACCCCUGAACACAGAACAUCAUAUAAACAUGUAAGGAGUUCUAAUGAUCAUACUUUCUAGCCUCUUAUCUCUCCUGCUUUACCAAUUCAUUUCUUUCUGCCUGCAAACAUGCAGAAGUAUCCAUUAAUAGAAAAAAAGCAAAUAUGAAAAAAAAACCCUUUUCAAUGGAUUUCCCCACCACCACCCCAUCACUGCCAAACCUCUCAAAGGCUUAGUCUGCCACCCCCAACUUCAUAUAAAAUUUCCAUCAUUUAUCCAUAAAAUUCACAGACUGCUUCCUGGACAUUUCCAUGAAAGUUAGGUAAGAAAUGAACAAAAUAAUUGCUCAACAAGAGAAGCCACUUGACUUGGUUGGCAUGAUUUGGUAUCAUCCUCAUUUUACAAAGAAACUGAUUAUUGGAAAGGGUUAAAAGGAAGGAAGGAAGCAAGCAAAUCAGACAGGUUAGAAUCACUCAGAAAGAGGUAACCAGGACCAGCUAUACAAUUUGAGGCUCCCAGGGCAAUAUGAAAAUGUAGGGCAGCUUGUUUGAAAAACAAGAAAAGGAGUUCCCAUUGUGGUUCAGCGGUAAAGAAUGCGACUAGUAUCCAUGAGGAUGCAGGUUAGAUUCGUGGCCCUGCUCAGUGGGUUAAGGACCCAGUGUUGCUGUGAACUGUGGGGUAGGUCACAGACAUGGCUCAGAUCCUGCAUUGCUGUGACAGUGGUGUUGGCCUGCAACUACAGCUCCAAUUCAACCCCUAGCCUGGGAACUUCCAUAUGCCAUGGGUGCAGCCCUAAAGAGACAAAAAAAAAAAAAAAAAAAAGUGCUGUUUAAGGUAUUAAACUACAAGGCCUUUUCCCUUCUCCUGUGGUCUCUCCCUCAACUUGCCAUGGUACUUGUUUGUUUUAAUUUUUAUUUAAUGUCAUUCCAAGUAAAGGGAAAUUAAAAUUUUAAAUUAAUGGCAUGAAUUUUGCCAUUCAUCUUUAUAUUUUGCAAUGCUAGUUUUUUGCUUUUCUUUUUAGGGCCACAUGUAUGACACAUGGAAAUUCCUGGGCUAGGGGUUGAAUUGGAGCUGCCUCUACUUAUCUACACCACAGCCAUAGCAACUCGGGACCCGAGCAUCUGCAACCUAUGCCACAGCUUGCUGUGAUGCCAGAUCCUUAACCCACUGAGUGAGGCCAGGGAUUGAACUCACAUCCUCACGGACAUUAUGUCAGGUUCUUAACCUGCUGAGCCACAAUGGGAAUUCUUGCAAUGGUAGUUUUAAAUGCAAAUAUAAGAGCAUUUAUUUCAUAUGUAGAAUCACCAAAAUCACACAAUUGGUAUUUCAUAGCUCAUGUAUGCAUCUAUACUUCAUUCUUAUAAGAACAGUGGAAAUGCUGCACAGAACUAACUCAACUGUUUUUAUUUUACUUCUUGAUGUGUGUGUAUUCUACCAACACUUUCUACCUUUGCUUAUUGAUGAAUAAGAAAACCCUGAAAGGAAAAGGAACUAUGGGUUAAUCUAUCUUUCCCUUUUCUUUAUGUCAUAUUUAAUGUAAGUGGUUGGCUAAUUCAGUAUAGCAACAGGUGUUAGAGCAGAAAAUCAAAGACGAGGCAGGAGGCCAGAGUGCCAAGACUUCGAGCACUGAGACUUUAACUUGGAGUUUUAUUGACCAACAGAUUGGCCAGAAGCACUGAGAGAGAACUCAGGCUCUCUGCUCCUUAGAGAGAAGUUAGUUAUAUAGAAAAAGGGGUAGCACAGGUUUGUUCUUGUUCUUGUUCUUGGGCUAAGUCAGUAUUCAAGGGGAAGUGGGAGGCAAUCUCUUUAGGAAUGAUUUUGGGUAGGAGAUAGAGGUAAAUUGUAAAGAAACAUCCAGUGACAAAUGACUGCUAACUCCAAGGCAGUUAGUUCAUUGUUGGGGGAGGGAUUAGCCUUCUAGACUAUAAGUCUGAUUAGAGUUUUGGUGGUGCCUAGCAAGUCAUGUCCAAUUCUCCACCUAAGAACAGGAACAAGAGAGAAUAUGAUGAGAUUCCUUGGUCAUUUAUGUUGCUUUGAAUGUCAUUGCCAUCUUUCUGCAUUCAGAACAAGUCCUGGUUCCAAUGGAAAAUGUGGCCUCUAGGGUGUUGUCAGCAUCCCUGCUUGCUCAGUUGUAGGCACGACAUACUUUGUACUCACUUGGAGUUUCAAUAAACUUCUGCACAUGGUGGUUCCCCUGGAAUCCUGUAUUCAUUGGGUAUUGUGAAUGCUCCAUGGGAAGGGGGCAGCAAGGGAUGGUGGGCCCACGUAUAAUGGAGCAGGAUCCUGUGGAGUCUCCCUGGGGCAGGCCCUUCCCCCAUAUCCUCUGCUUUAGCUCCUCUCUGAAGUACCUAGGUAACAGUAUCUGAUGUGCAUUUCCUGAGUAGUUUUACAAAUGUGAAAAUCACCACCCCUCAACCAAAUGGAAGAUAUUAACAACUCGAUGAACAUGAGCAUAUAAAGCCCCAGGCCUCCUGGAGCCUAAGGACUGAUCAUGGUAACUCCUGUGACAUUGCCCUGUAACCUCACCAUCAGCCAAUCAGAAUUGUGCACGAGCUGAUCAUUUACCCUGAGACCACACUACCCCCCCCCCCAUCUCCACUAGCUUUUAAAAUGCUGUGGUGCAGUGGGUUAAGGAUCCAGCAUUGCUGCAAUUGUGUCAUAAGCCAUGCUUCAGCUUGGAUUUGAUCUCUGGCCUGAAAACUUACAUAUACUGUGGGUGCAGCUGAAAAAGAAGGGGAAAGUAAGCUUUAUAAAUUUGGUUCAGGAAGUUCCAAAGUGCAUUGGGCACAGGAACUUGCACGAAUACAUUAUCACAGCCAUCUCCUCUAAUUCACGUGCAUAUUCCAUUGUCCCAUCAGACUUUGCUUAUAAAACACAAGUUUAGGAUUUCCCCUGUGGCCCAAUGGGUUAAAGAUCCAGUGUUGUCACUGCAGUAGCUCAGGUCACUGCUGUGGUAUAGGUUUGAUUCCUGGCCUGAGAAUUUCCACACGCCACAGGAACAGCCAAAAACAUUUUUUAAAAUAAAUAAAAACACAAGUUCAAAGAUAAAAUUAUUAAUAAUUUCAAGAUAGCAACAAAAGAGCACUAAAGUAAGUGUGGGGCCCUUCUAAGUGCUGAGCCCUGCUGCAUGCUCACAAAGCCAGCUCUGGAGUAGCUAAGUGAGCAAAGAGCUCAUAUCUGACUCCAGGGGCAAGUCCCUUAACACGUCACAUGGAGUCAACUCAAAUAACACAGGGCAAGGCAUUGGCAGAGUGACAAAGAAUGCCAAGAAGAUGAGAAAGUUUUCAGGGGCUACAUAAUAGGCAACAUUGAACUGCUGGCCUUGGCUCUAGAAGGGUUAGAGAAGUUCCUAAAGACGAUAAAAGACUGAGGUAUAGGAGAAUGGGAAGGGGUAAAGGAAGUAAAACCUGGGAGGAGAAUGAUGAGGAGGUAGAAAGAAGUGCUUGGAAGAACAUGACUGUCAGAAGGAUAGAACAGCCUAGUUAUUUUCAGCAGAUGUAUAGACUGGCAGAGAUUAUAACUUAAAAGUAGGUCAGUUCCCAAGGGUAGGACAGACAUCUUAACCUCUCGAUGUUCAGGGAGCAUUCAUUUUGGCAGCCUGCAUCUAUACAGUACUUUCAAAAAGGGGUGAGGCCAGAGAAGCAAGGAACAAGUACCACGAGUCCAAUAAAGCAUUUUUACAAGAGGCAGGGCAAUCCUGGGGUAUAUUCCUCAGAAGGCCAGGUAGGAGGUCCAAUCAAGGAGGUCUAUCUGCCAACUGGUAGGACCUGCUACAAGGCUGAGGCCAGGGGACAGCUAGAAUGGAGGCAGGGUCCCUGAUCAAGAAAUGGACAAGGAAUGAGAGUCAUUAUCGAUGGGUACAGGGUUUUUGUUGUGGAUGAUGAAAAAGUUUGGGGUAUAAAUGUUGGUAAUGGUUACACAACAUUGUGAAUAUGAAUGUCACUGAGUUGCACGUUUGUGAAUAGUUCAAAUGUAAGCAUUAUAUUAUGUGUAUUUACUAUACUUAAAAAAAAAGACUCUGGAAAAAAAUAGAAUAGGGUAUUAGAUUUACCAGACCAAGGAAGGACCAGAGAUCCAAAGAUUAGAAUUAAAGUAUAUAUACCUUGGGGUACAUAUAUGGGGUGAGGGUAGGGGCUCUUAAAGACACCUCUUCUUUUCUCAGAAGAGGAAGCAAAGCAGCUUGAGAUGGACACCUCUUUACUUGCCUGGGAAGGCUUCCUCAUUUGAGUAGCUACUGUGCCCGAUCCUGGAGAUGGACUUUGGGGCCGAGACCACAGGGAUGUGGGCAAGGCAGAGGGUGAAUUCUGCCAUGUGCACCAGGCCUUGGCCCAGGCCACAACUAAGGGACAUCUUAAAGGCUCUAAGGUCCUCAUUUAGGCACUGAAUUUCUUCUUGGAAUUCCUUCAGGGGUCUUGAAACCCCAGCCCCAGGAACCAAGUAGGAUCUAGCUUCAAGUAUGCUUAGAGAGAAAGUCCACAUUGGCAUCCCAGAUCUCCAGCCUUCUUUUAAGAGUCAGGUCCUCAACCCUUGUGACUGGCAGAGCACAUCCAGCCAUCCCUGGCUUAGGGAUGAUGGCUGUGAUGGAAAGGGAUAGGAAUGUUGCUGGGGGCGGGGGAGGGGGGAGUUGAGAUGCUGAGAUGAGGUGGAAAGAUGGCUGGACUAUUUUUAGGGAUAGAGAGAGAUAAAGGAUGGUUCAAUCAGAUGAAGUUUGGCAGCUGGAAUGAGAUAUAAAGAGAGAAGGAAGGGAAAAAAAAGUUAAGGAAUUGAGAUUUCGGUGCCCCAGCAAUCAUUCAUUCAAAUGUUUAAUGAGCACCUUAAACUGUGCCAGACACUGAUCUAGAGAUAGAGCAGCAACAGAGAACUAGACAAGACACUCAAAGAUCUUGAGUCUAGCACUGAAGAUAGAUCAUCAAACAGUUACACCAAACUAUGAUGAAUAUUAUGAUGAGGGAAAAAGACAAGGCCAGCGAAGGAAAAUGAGUUCAUAGUAAUUAGAAUUAGGUUCUGCAACAUAUAACAGAUAUUAGGCUGUUGCUUAAAUGAGAUAAACAUUCUUUUUUUUCACACAUAAAAGAAGUCCAAGGCUGGAAUGGCAGUUCCACAUAUCUUAAAAGGAGGGGCUGUUAUCAUAUUGUUUUAUUAUGGCAGCUUCCAUCUUCAGUGUUACCUCAUGCUCCAAGAUGGCUGCUGGAGCUCCAACCAUUGUUUCUGAGUUGAAGACUGCAAAAAAGAGGCAAAAAAAGAGACCCACUUCUGUUGAAUCAACUUCUUUUGAGCAGCCUUCCUGGAAGUCCUAUUUCCUUGGAAGACUUGGGACUUGGUUGUACCCCAAUUCAAGGGAAACUGGGCAGCAAUGUGGCCAGCUAAAAUUCAGGUUUUGAUAAAAAGGAGGAAAGAAAUAUUUAAGGCUGCAUUAGAUAGCAGUCUCUAGCACGAUGUUUUCAUCCUUUGCAGGUGAUACUCAUGAAUAUUGAGGACUGAAUGCUCAGAAACAUGAUGUUGAAUUCUAGCAGAACUACCAAAGAUUAUUAUUUUUGAAAAUAGUAUUCUCUUUUAGUAGAAGGCAUAAUUUAUAAAGAAAAAAUAUACAUAUAGUCUUUUUAGGGCCACACCUGAGGCAUAUGGAAGUUCCCAGGCGAGGGGUCAAAUCAGAGUUGUAGCUACUGGCCCACACCACAGGUUACAGCAAUGCCGGAUCCUUAAUUCACUGGGCCAGCCUCGUGGAUACUAGUC